Molecule: long non-coding RNA, 1073 nt
Filed under: Homo sapiens (human)
Lineage: Eukaryota; Metazoa; Chordata; Mammalia; Primates; Hominidae
Description: HSALNT0132592
Source: RNAcentral
AGGGGAUCGGAAUGUGGCUCAAGUUCGGGAGGCGUUACCUGCGGAGGGUUUGAGGCAGGUCCAGGAGCGAGCCCACGGUCCGCCGACGCGGGACCAGGGGCGGGCCCCAGGAUCCGGAGCUUCGGGCGGGGCCGAGUCCGGGUUUGGGGCCCGGAAGGCGGGGCCAGUUAGGGCGAGGGUCCCUGGGAUCGUCAGGUCAGGCCUUGGGCUAACGUAGGCACUCUCGCAGUUCCUCCGCCUUCAGGAAAGUCUUUUUAGCAGGGGCCUUACGGGUUCGCGCUUUGGUCCUGGAGGCCUUAUCCUAGCCUCCUCUGUAUCAGCGCCACCAGUCUGGGGCCCGAAAGGAGGGAGCUUUCCCUCUGUCCCCCAGCCUUUGGACUGUCACCAAACAAGCCAUUCGUUCACCAAAUACUUAUUAAGCGCCUACCAUGUGCCUGACAAGGGAGAUGUAACGAUAGAGUCUCUCUCUCUGCCACCCAGGCCAGAGUGCAGUUGACGCAGGGCAGGGGAGCCCCGAAGUGGAGCAUAGUGUGUCCGGAACUGGUGGGUUCUUGGUCUCCCUGACUUCAAGAAUGAAGCCACGGACCCUCGGGAAAUGAGGCUUCUCCCCAGGACCAGCAUUCCACGAAGGCAGCCCUUUUCUAGAUGGAGAAAACAGAACCUGAAGACACCCGUUUCCCUAAACUGCUCUCGCUCAUGUUUCUACAAGGCCUGGAGCUGAUAGGAAAAACCUCCCUUCUUUCCCAAAUGGUCCCCAGCUGCCCCGUUCACUGAAGGCCCUGCAGUCAGGAACGGUCAGGACUUCACACCCAGUUGUUGUGGGUGUUUGGCCGACACGACACUUCCUCUUGUGUGAUUCAUGGACCCGCAGCAUUGCGUCACCUGGGAGCUUUUGGUAUUGAAGACUCUCAGGGCUCACCCGGAAGGACCUGCUGGGCCAGAAUCUACAUUUUAACAAGAUGCCCAGAAACUCCUGGAGGGCAGAGGCAUGCCUGCCAUCUUCAUCAUUGCAUUACCACCACCCAACACUAUCGGGGGACCUGCCCUGAUAAUCAGUAAAACCAACACAAAAC